GGGGAAAAUAUAAAUUGGAUUUAGGGGCUCAAAAGACUUAGGUUUAAGCAAAUUCAAGGAGCUCAGCUUGAAAUCAAAGUUAUGGCCAGUGUACUCUGGGAGUCUUUAACUAGUGGUGAAAUAGAAGCUAUUGAUAGGCCAAUUUAGCUGGCUAAAAGAUGAGAUUCGAUUAGAGGGUCAAUUGGAUUUUCCUAAUAUGCCC
Molecule: long non-coding RNA, 202 nt
Filed under: Ricinus communis (castor bean)
Lineage: Eukaryota; Viridiplantae; Streptophyta; Magnoliopsida; Malpighiales; Euphorbiaceae
Description: long non-coding RNA (RCOM_LNC002914)
Source: RNAcentral